Molecule: long non-coding RNA, 246 nt
Filed under: Elaeis guineensis (African oil palm)
Lineage: Eukaryota; Viridiplantae; Streptophyta; Magnoliopsida; Arecales; Arecaceae
Description: long non-coding RNA (EGUI_LNC060190)
Source: RNAcentral
CUGACUUGAGCAUUGGAGGGUCUUGCCGGAGCACCCCCAACUCCGGUUUAAACUUCCCUUGUAGGUCCCGACGGCGGUCACGGUCAUCUCGACUCCAGCUUCUCUGACAUCGGUGGAAUUUUGCACCAACAAAAUUGGCGCUAGAAGGAGGGCGCUGUGUCUUCGCAGGACCCUUGUUCUUAAAGGAGCACUCAACGGGACUAUCUCUGGUCAUCUUCUUCAACAUCUUCCUCUUCUUCUCCAGCC